AUGAACGCUGGCGGCGUGCCUAAUACAUGCAAGUCGAGCGAACAGACGAGGAGCUUGCUCCUCUGACGUUAGCGGCGGACGGGUGAGUAACACGUGGAUAACCUACCUAUAAGACUGGGAUAACUUCGGGAAACCGGAGCUAAUACCGGAUAAUAUAUUGAACCGCAUGGUUCAAUAGUGAAAGACGGUUUUGCUGUCACUUAUAGAUGGAUCCGCGCCGCAUUAGCUAGUUGGUAAGGUAACGGCUUACCAAGGCAACGAUGCGUAGCCGACCUGAGAGGGUGAUCGGCCACACUGGAACUGAGACACGGUCCAGACUCCUACGGGAGGCAGCAGUAGGGAAUCUUCCGCAAUGGGCGAAAGCUUGACGGAGCAACGCCGCGUGAGUGAUGAAGGCCUUCGGAUCGUAAAACUCUGUUAUUAGGGAAGAACAAAUGUGUAAGUAACUAUGCACGUCUUGACGGUACCUAAUCAGAAAGCCACGGCUAACUACGUG
RNAcentral lists this ribosomal RNA (496 nucleotides) under uncultured bacterium. Its description in RNAcentral is "partial 16S ribosomal RNA". It matches the Rfam family "Bacterial small subunit ribosomal RNA", at positions 29 to 507 of the family's 1533-position model. The record is from RNAcentral.